This 450-nucleotide ribosomal RNA is filed under the name uncultured bacterium. Its description in RNAcentral is "partial 16S ribosomal RNA". It matches the Rfam family "Bacterial small subunit ribosomal RNA", at positions 354 to 796 of the family's 1533-position model. The record is from RNAcentral.
GUGGGGAAUUUUGGACAAUGGGCGCAAGCCUGAUCCAGCCAUUCCGCGUGCAGGAUGAAGGCCUUCGGGUUGUAAACUGCUUUUGUACGGAACGAAAAGCCUCUGGUUAAUACCCGGGGGUCAUGACGGUACCGUAAGAAUAAGCACCGGCUAACUACGUGCCAGCAGCCGCGGUAAUACGUAGGCUGCGAGCGUUAAUCGGAAUUACUGGGAGUAAAGCGUGCGCAGGCGGUGAUGUAAGACAGUUGUGAAAUCCCCGGGCUCAACCUGGGAACUGCAUCUGUGACUGCAUUGCUGGAGUGCGGCAGAGGGGGAUGGAAUUCCGCGUGUAGCAGUGAAAUGCGUAGAUAUGCGGAGGAACACCGAUGGCGAAGGCAAUCCCCUGGGCCUGCACUGACGCUCAUGCACGAAAGCGUGGGGAGCAAACAGGAUUAGAAACCCCAGUAGUCC